Long non-coding RNA from Triticum dicoccoides, 1534 nucleotides. RefSeq lists it as uncharacterized. The transcript is spliced from 5 exons. Lineage: Eukaryota; Viridiplantae; Streptophyta; Magnoliopsida; Poales; Poaceae. The record is from RefSeq and is a predicted model, not a curated record.
CGCCAGCCCUGCGCGUCAAAACCCUAGCCGCCAGCCCUGCGCCCACUCCGCCUCGUUCUCCUCCCCGCUCGCUGCAUCCUCUCCCAUGUCGCCGCCCCUCUUCUCCUGUCUCGCCUCGGCCGCCUCCUCUCCUCCCCGCGUCACCGGCCCCCUCCCUCCUCCUCCCUCCUUCGUCCUCACAGCCGACCAUCUCCGUCACUUGGGCCCCAUGGCAAUGGCCGGGUCUUCCGGUCGGGAUUUAGACGAGGAAAAGGAAAAAUCGAGCGUCUCGAUGGUGCCAUGACUGAUGCACGGCGACGGCUAGCGUCUGUGAGCACCACACAUGGUGCAGCAGGCUCGGCGGGCAGUGGGCGCGGUGGUCAAGGCCAGGGGCGCGGAUUGGGGGAGAUGCGCACACGAGGAGCGACGGCGACCGCAUCUGCCGCCAACACCGAGGCCAUACUGCCAGUACAUUCCAAGUGGAAUGGAGUACCCAGUUUUGUCCAGAAAGUUGAGGCCUUCCGAUGGUUCUUUUGCAAUGAGGGUUUCAAUGCUAACCAUAUUGCAUUUCCAUUUUCAGGGUGUCCUUUUACUGGGUACCCACCCUCCAGUGCAUAUAUUUGCAUGAUGAUGUAAUGUUAGACCAACUUUCUAGUUUAAAUAAAACUUUGUAGAAAAUCAAAUAAGAGGAUGGCAUUAUUUCGGCCUCGAUUUGGGCCAAAUCGGGGAAGCCCUUCUCUUAUUUGAUUCUCUUGCAGCACUCGGCUGGUUCCAAGACCGCGAGGGUAAGGACUUCCUGUUGUGUGCGUGCUUGCCUUUGAACCAAAUCGAACCCAACAGAAAAACACACACACAUGCGUGCAUUUUUUUCCGUGUCCCUGAUGUUGUGUUGUAAUUGGUGUAGCUGCCGGAGGGGAAAGAGCAGAGGAUCCGAGAGGUGAAGCAACCGGAGGAGCCGGAGAACACGACCCCUGUCCUAUGUACCGGCCAUAUCCCCCACGGCUUUUACAAGGACUAGAUGCAAGGAGCUUGGGGCUAUUAAGAAGAGGGUCAGUAUUGCCCGGAACCACAAGCCUUUUCAUUCUAGGCAUCAUUUCCCAUUUGUUUGGGAUCCAAUUCUAAAAAUGCUUGGCAGCGUUGGUUUGGCCUUCUAUUAAUCUCCAGAUGAUAGAUGUGAUUAUAAAUGGCAUUAAGAAUGAGUAGAUCCGACUUGGGGAGGGCAUGGUUGAUGUAUGCAACCAUGGGAGUGUCAGCUUAGUCUGGUCCUCAUCGACCAAAGGCUCCCAGGCUUGGCCAUCGCCAGAGUUAUGUGAAACAAGGUUUUUUAGGGAACUCUUUUGAAAGGCAUGAGUGUACAUAACACAUGUUUCAUCGUCUUCUCUUUCUUUCAUGAGUUGUUGAACAGAUCUUAUGAAGCUUGAUUGAUAGUGUUUCAACUCAGAUGAAGUGUUCUGGAGGAUCAGUUUUGCAGAUCUUGGAGAUCAUUAUACGUUCUAUACAAUGCACUGUUCGGGAGUGUUGCAUGCCUUUGUAUUGUGUUCCUGAACCUCGCUAA